GAGAAUGUUAUAAGACCUGCUAACUCUUCUAUCUGGACCUAAACGGCCUGCCUUCUCU
Molecule: transfer RNA, 58 nt
Filed under: Cylindrophis ruffus (red-tailed pipe snake)
Lineage: Eukaryota; Metazoa; Chordata; Lepidosauria; Squamata; Cylindrophiidae
Description: tRNA-Ser specifying AGY codons
Source: RNAcentral